Molecule: transfer RNA, 72 nt
Filed under: Camelus bactrianus (Bactrian camel)
Lineage: Eukaryota; Metazoa; Chordata; Mammalia; Artiodactyla; Camelidae
Also listed under: 2 other names
Rfam family: tRNA
About the family: Transfer RNA (tRNA) molecules are approximately 80 nucleotides in length.
Source: Rfam by way of RNAcentral
GUGGGUAUAGCUCAGUCAUAGAGCACGUGCAUAGCAUGCAUGAGUUCCUGGGUUCAACCUCCAGUACCUCCA